AAUCCAUGGUGUGGACACUUCCUCAACAAUUCAUUGUACUUCUCUCAUGCUUCAUAUAAUGACUCAUUAUUGCUCUGCACAAAGGAGGUAAUAUCAUUUCUCAUCUU
Pistacia vera is the source of this 107-nucleotide small nucleolar RNA. Lineage: Eukaryota; Viridiplantae; Streptophyta; Magnoliopsida; Sapindales; Anacardiaceae. The record is from RefSeq and is a predicted model, not a curated record.